Molecule: transfer RNA, 85 nt
Filed under: Felis catus (domestic cat)
Lineage: Eukaryota; Metazoa; Chordata; Mammalia; Carnivora; Felidae
Also listed under: 2 other names
Rfam family: tRNA
About the family: Transfer RNA (tRNA) molecules are approximately 80 nucleotides in length. Their secondary structure includes four short double-helical elements and three loops (D, anti-codon, and T loops).
Source: Rfam by way of RNAcentral
GCCUGGGUGGCUCAGUCAGUUAAGCAUCUGACUUUGGCUCAGGUCAUGAUCUCACGGUUUGUGGGUUCAAACCCCACAUCAGGCU